ACUAGCGGGUGAAUCAUUCAACUCCACCGUGCCCACUGAGAGAAAUAAUCUUCAUCUAGAAGACACCAGGUCAAGAAGCAUAACAGCAGCGAGUGUUCUAGAGAAUCCCUUGUUUAAUCCAGCUCCUGACCUCAGCAGAAAUGCUAACCUGAGUAUUGCAUCAUCAUCAUCAGUGUCCAGGACAGGCUCAAGCACAGGUGUUCAAGCACCAUCUUCUAAUCUAGCGUGGACGCCUCACCGGAAUUUACCACCUCACCAAAGAAGAAGAUCGGAACUUGCCCAUAGGUCAUUGAUUUCUUCCCUUUCUGCAGAUGCGAGAUCUGGUGAUCAUCAUCCACCACUUCGUUCGUUGGCUCCUCCUGCCCCUCAGGAUGGGCUUGUGCUUCAGCCUGGUGGUGGUGAUAGUAGCCGGGCAUACUCGAGAGCAGGUCUGUGGCUUGAUAGACAAGUGGAUAGUUUGGUUGGGGCUCCUCAAUCUUUAAGGGCUUUGGCAGCUGCAAGCAGAGGAAGAAACAGACUUAUGGUAUCCCAGGUCAGUUCAUACAAGUUCGGUUAACCUUGAUGGUUUUUGUUAGACUGACAGUGAGUCUCUUUGAAACAGAUGCAGAAUAUCUUGGAAGUGAUGCGGAGGGAUCCGAAUCAUAACUUGCGGCUUGAGGUUAGUUUCUCCUUGGGGCGGGCUCAGUAGAAUAAACAGUGUUCUAAAAUUACAAGUGAACUUGUCUUCUCUCUGUCUCUGUUGAACUUUAAAAAGUAAUGUGAAUUGCUUGAUUGUCCAGGACGUUAUGCUUCUGAAACCUUAAUUAAAAAAUUAGUAAACAAAAAUAAUGGUAAUUAUAUAUGAUAUUUUUAAUUAAAUAAAAGUGCUUUGUAAUUUUAUUUUGUAAAAAUUAACUAAAAACGACACAUAGGAAAACCUAAGUAUCAAUAUUUACUUGUUCUUGGUACUGAAAACGUUGGUGAGGAACUGAGGAUGUAUGUGGAAUCACUGGAGAAGAAGAUGCCUAAGUCAAUUAGUGGUCAUGAAAUAUAUUGAGUGGUUGUCGACUGGGUUGUGUUAACAAACACAUAGAAAACUUAAUUAAUGGGCCUUCGAGUGAAUAUAUUUUUUUGUUCUUAGUGGCAAGAAUAUUUUGUUGAAGUAUCAAUAUUUGAUUGGCCUGACUUUUCUUUAAUUGUUACUAUCUAAGUUCCAAUUUUUGAUAUUUUUAUAUAACAGAAAUUACAAAAGUCUGUAUUGUGAGUUUCAACUAUUCACAUCCAUAGGACCAUAUAACAUGAUGUUUCACGGACUAAACAUUACCAACAUAUUUAUUUUACUAUAUACUUUGCUAUAUAUAUAUUUAUCAAACAUUUUUAUAUUCCAAAAUAAAAGAGCGAAAUUACAUUUAUUUUCAUAAUUAAAAAAUAUUGCGUAUGAAAUAUGUUUUAGUAUUUACAUAAUUUCAAACACAAAAAAAUUACUUCUAUAGUUUUCAUUAAUUGUGUUUGGGUUUAUAGAAUUAAAACCAAAAAUUCAUUAUGAUUUUUUCCAUAAAUGAAAUAAAAAUAUGCAUGACCAGAAUGAAAUUGCCACUUGAAGUUGUUUCUUUUUUUUUUUUUUGAAACACGGAAUUGUGUCUAAAAAAUCAAGUUAUGUAGGGGGUGUGAACCUGAUCAUUUGUAUUUUAGGCUAAAAAAAAUUAUAUAAAGAAUAAAUAAAAUUGAUUGCGAAUUAUUUAUAACAUGAUACACUUUCUACAAAACGUUUUUUUUAUAGAUUUUGUUUUUUAAUUUUAAAUUCAUAAGCUGAUAAUCAGUGCCGGUCAUAAAAAUUUAAGACCAAGUUUGUAAACUUGAGAUUUUACCAUUAGACCUAAAAAAACGAUUGAAAAUAUGUGGCCGAAAAUAUAUUUAUUGUGAAGCGGCCAAAAACCACUGAUUUCUUUGUUUAAGUCCAAGGGCCGGCUCUGCUGAUAAUCUCUGGGAGUAGAAAAUUUAAGUAAAUAAUAUUUCUAAUGAACAAAUGUCAUCUUGUGUUUAUUUUUAGUUGAGAAUCUAAUGAAAUUAAAGAAAAAAGAAAGGCAAGGAUAUGAAAAGAUAAGCAAUCAGAAAGCACACCAAAUGACCAAAGUUACAUGGUAACAAAAGGAAAGAAACCAAAUCUGUUGGUUUAGUUUGGUUCGGUUUAGUUAAAUUCAAAAAACAAAGAGAGGAAAAUUGAAAAACGAGGGACGUGUGAAGAAGCAAAGGCUAAGAACUUGCCAGCUUGCUGCUGUCUCCUCUUCAAACAAUUUAAUUUAUAGUAUAAAAAAAUUUUUAAUAAGUUUUUUUGUUGGUAUUCGUUGAUUAAGGCUAAGCUUAUUGAAUUCUCCUCUUUGGAAACUGCUCUUAUGACUGACCAUUUUGCUUUCUUUCUUUCUUUAUUUUUCCUUUUCAUAAAAAAAUAUACAUUUUUAAGUUUUCCUAACGUGAAUUAAAACAUUGCCGUCUCUUCCUCUGCCUAAUAAUCAAUCCUCCCUUCCUCUUCUCUCUCUGCAACAAAGCGGUACGUUCUCUCUCUCUCUUCCUCAAGUUUUGUUCUUUCUUCUCAUCCCAAGAUUAAUUUAGAUCGGUUAUGUUUUUCUAUUUUCUUUUUAUUGUUGGGUUUUGAUUUUGUCAUAUCUGGGACUUAUCAUUCGGAAUUGAGAAGAAUCUCUGUUGAAACCGAUUGUUCUAAAGUUGGCUCCUUUAUGUAUAGAUCUCUAAUCAACUUUUGUUUGUUUUGAUAGAAAGCUCUCUUCUUUACCCUUUAUUGAUGAUAUCUUCAUCUUCUGAUUCUGUCUUGUGGGUUGUUUGCCUGACCGACCGACCACCAUGCCUUUAUCUUCCUUCAAGCUGUUUGCUAGCUCUUGGGACUUUGUGACACUUAACUUCCUUUGCUUGUUGUUUUGUCAACCUCUGUCUCUAGGUGUCAAAUUGAUACUUCAUUCACCUCUUAUGAAGUCAUAUGUCAUCUGUUAUGAAUUGUGUUUUACUUGGCCAACUAAUCUAUGAGUCAGUGAGUUGUUUUAAGCUAUUGUGUGAUUUUAUUUGUAAUUACAGUUCUAGGAACUAUGUUUUCAUUGAGAGCAUUUGAGUGUGUUUAUGAGUUUCUUCCUUUUUCAUUCACAAUUUAACUUUUCUUUGUUACUGAAUGAUUUAUACUGUCUUUGUUCUUUUUUUCAGUCUCCACGUUAGGCAGGCACAUUGCUAGAGGAGCAAAGAAAGUCUCGCGAGUCCUCCUCUUCUCCCAAGUGUAACUGUGGUUAAACUUUAGCCGAGAUGCAGGGAGAGAGGGCCAGUCUCGGCUAUUUAUCAGAGGGCUUAAACUUUGAGCAUGGUUCCACCUCCAGUAAUGGUUUGAUGGAUCACUGGGACGGUCUUGGUGAUAACGACUUGCAGGACUACAUGAUUGCAAAUUCUGAAUCUCUCGCUCACUCGGUUUACCCUGAACAACAUAGGUUUAGCCUCGGCGAGGAGGCUAGCUCUAGUGGCACGAAGAAUGAAGCUUCCGGUCACAAUGAGCAACUAAGAAAUGAAAUAAUUGAUUUAGACUCAGAUUCUGAACAACCUUCUGGGGACAAUCAGAAUGUCAACCUGAAUGCAGAAUAUAUUGAACUUGACGAGGAUAUUGAUGUGGUUGAAGCUAACGGAUCAGGGAACAGGGCUUCACAACCUGGCAGACCUUUCCAAGAGACUAGUGUUAGAACAGGUUCUUCUGUUGAUGCAUCCUGCAAGAGGAAGGCUAUUGAAGGCAGUAGUAGUGGUCAGUCUUCUUUAGGUGGUUACCAUCACGGAGAAAGCAGCAGUUCGUGGACCCCAGUUUCUACCGAGUAUAGGUCAGUAAAUGGUCUAAACAUAUCUGGAUCUCGAGGAGAGGUCUCUGCUACUGCUUCAAAUUUUCUUGUAAGCUCAAGUAGAAAUACAUGUGUCAGGAGUAAUCCCUCUGAAACUGUAAGCCCAGCUGCCUUUUCUGCGGGAACUGUUGUCAGGCGACCUGUCCCUCCACCGCACUCUAACUUAUCAAGACUUGUACCAUCAGAUCAUCAUGGACAAUCCCUAGGAAAUAUCUUCUCACGGAACCCAAAUCCUCCUGCACCUGUUUCAAGGAAUAUGCUACCACCAUUUCAGUGGACUGAGAGCUCACUAGCGGGUGAAUCAUUCAACUCCACCGUGCCCACUGAGAGAAAUAAUCUUCAUCUAGAAGACACCAGGUCAAGAAGCAUAACAGCAGCGAGUGUUCUAGAGAAUCCCUUGUUUAAUCCAGCUCCUGACCUCAGCAGAAAUGCUAACCUGAGUAUUGCAUCAUCAUCAUCAGUGUCCAGGACAGGCUCAAGCACAGGUGUUCAAGCACCAUCUUCUAAUCUAGCGUGGACGCCUCACCGGAAUUUACCACCUCACCAAAGAAGAAGAUCGGAACUUGCCCAUAGGUCAUUGAUUUC
RNAcentral lists this long non-coding RNA (4442 nucleotides) under Brassica napus (rape). RNAcentral describes it as "long non-coding RNA (BNAP_LNC005659)". The record is from RNAcentral. Lineage: Eukaryota; Viridiplantae; Streptophyta; Magnoliopsida; Brassicales; Brassicaceae.